This 253-nucleotide ribosomal RNA is filed under the name uncultured bacterium. RNAcentral describes it as "partial 16S ribosomal RNA". It matches the Rfam family "Bacterial small subunit ribosomal RNA", at positions 524 to 776 of the family's 1533-position model. The record is from RNAcentral.
GACGAACCGUGCGAACGAUGUUCGGAAUCACUGGGCUUAAAGGGUGCGUAGGCGGGUUGUCCAGUCUGGGGUGAAAUCCCACGGCUCAACCGUGGAAUUGCCUCAGAUACUGACGACCUCGAGGGAGGUAGGGGAGAGCGGAACUGUGGGUGGAGCGGUGAAAUGCGUUGAUAUCCACAGGAACUCCGGUGGCGAAGGCGGCUCGCUGGACCUCUUCUGACGCUGAGGCACGAAAGCUAGGGGAGCAACCGGG